UGUCAUAGAAGAACCACAUAUGGUGUCC
Molecule: small RNA, 28 nt
Filed under: Bombyx mori (domestic silkworm)
Lineage: Eukaryota; Metazoa; Arthropoda; Insecta; Lepidoptera; Bombycidae
Description: ovarian small RNA-8982
Source: RNAcentral